This 400-nucleotide ribosomal RNA is filed under the name uncultured bacterium. RNAcentral describes it as "bacterial SSU rRNA". It matches the Rfam family "Bacterial small subunit ribosomal RNA", at positions 355 to 748 of the family's 1533-position model. The record is from RNAcentral.
UGGGGAAUUUUGGACAAUGGGCGAAAGCCUGAUCCAGCAAUGCCGCGUGAGUGAAGAAGGCCUUCGGGUUGUAAAGCUCUUUUGUCAGGGAAGAAACGGUGAAAGCUAAUAUCUUUUGCUAAUGACGGUACCUGAAGAAUAAGCACCGGCUAACUACGUGCCAGCAGCCGCGGUAAUACGUAGGGUGCAAGCGUUAAUCGGAAUUACUGGGCGUAAAGCGUGCGCAGGCGGUUUUGUAAGUCUGAUGUGAAAUCCCCGGGCUCAACCUGGGAAUUGCAUUGGAGACUGCAAGGCUAGAAUCUGGCAGAGGGGGUAGAAUUCCACGUGUAGCAGUGAAAUGCGUAGAUAUGUGGAGGAACACCGAUGGCGAAGGCAGCCCCCUGGGUCAAGAUUGACGCUC